RNAcentral lists this ribosomal RNA (679 nucleotides) under uncultured bacterium. Its description in RNAcentral is "bacterial SSU rRNA". It matches the Rfam family "Bacterial small subunit ribosomal RNA", at positions 62 to 736 of the family's 1533-position model. The record is from RNAcentral.
UCGAACGGCAGCACGGGAGCAAUCCUGGUGGCGAGUGGCGAACGGGUGAGUAAUACAUCGGAACGUGCCCAGUAGUGGGGGAUAGCCCGGCGAAAGCCGGAUUAAUACCGCAUACGACCUACGGGUGAAAGCGGGGGAUCGCAAGACCUCGCGCUAUUGGAGCGGCCGAUGUCAGAUUAGGUAGUUGGUGGGGUAAAAGCCUACCAAGCCUUCGAUCUGUAGCUGGUCUGAGAGGACGACCAGCCACACUGGGACUGAGACACGGCCCAGACUCCUACGGGAGGCAGCAGUGGGGAAUUUUGGACAAUGGGCGCAAGCCUGAUCCAGCCAUGCCGCGUGCGGGAAGAAGGCCUUCGGGUUGUAAACCGCUUUUGUCAGGGAAGAAACGCUCCGGGAUAAUACCUCGGAGUAAUGACGGUACCUGGAGAAUAAGCACCGGCUAACUACGUGCCAGCAGCCGCGGUAAUACGUAGGGUGCAAGCGUUAAUCGGAAUUACUGGGCGUAAAGCGUGCGCAGGCGGUCACGCAAGACAGAUGUGAAAUCCCCGGGCUUAACCUGGGAACUGCAUUUGUGACUGCAUGGCUUGAGUGCGGCAGAGGGGGAUGGAAUUCCGCGUGUAGCAGUGAAAUGCGUAGAUAUGCGGAGGAACACCGAUGGCGAAGGCAAUCCCCUGGGCCU